This 515-nucleotide unclassified non-coding RNA is filed under the name Hevea brasiliensis (rubber tree). Lineage: Eukaryota; Viridiplantae; Streptophyta; Magnoliopsida; Malpighiales; Euphorbiaceae. The record is from RNAcentral.
GUCAAAAUCUCAUCACUGCACCCAAGAUCAACACUAGCCAACAACAUUUUAGCCAGUGGUGGAUUAAUAGGAAAUUCUGCCAUUAGUCUUCCUGGUUUAGUCAGAAGCCCCUCCUCAUCCAGACAACCUAGACUAUACAGUUGUUCCAUGGCAGAAACGAGGGCUGGGGAUGAAGGCAUAUCCAUAAAAUCAAAAGAGAAGGGAUCUCUAAUUCCCAUGGCCAUCAUGGUGAGCAUGGUUUCUGCAAGGUUAACCCUUUGGAUUUCUGGAGUUGUAGUAGGGGACAUCUCAUUACGAAAUGCACUCUCAGUGUAUAGGCGGUAGCACUUUCCAGGACCAGUACGCCCAGCACGCCCAGCUCGUUGCUUGGCCGAUGCUUGUGAAAUAGGAGUUAUAACCAGAGAUUCAACCCUUAGCUUUGGAUUAUAAACAUUUUGUUUCAUAAAUCCAGGAUCAAUGACAUAGAAAAUUCCAUCUAUCGUCAAAGAAGCCUCAGCAAUAUUGGUUGCCACAAC